AGCGAACGUUAGCGGCGGGCCUAACACAUGCAAGUCGAACGAGAAUAGGGGGAGCAAUCCCCUUAGUAAAGUGGCGGACGGGUGCGUAACACGUGGGUGAUCUACCUUCCGGCGGGGGACAACAGUCCGAAAGGAUUGCUAAUACCGCGUACGUCAGCGAGGUCUCCGGACCUUGCUGGGAAAGAUGGCCUCUCUUUAGAAGCUGUCACCGGAAGAUGAGCCCGCGGCCCAUCAGCUAGUUGGGAGGUAACGGCUCACCAAGGCUAAGACGGGUAGCUGGUCUGAGAGGAUGAUCAGCCACACUGGGACUGCGACACGGCCCAGACUCCUACGGGAGGCAGCAGGUGGGGAAUA
This 354-nucleotide ribosomal RNA is filed under the name uncultured bacterium. RNAcentral describes it as "bacterial SSU rRNA". It matches the Rfam family "Bacterial small subunit ribosomal RNA", at positions 29 to 363 of the family's 1533-position model. The record is from RNAcentral.